This 452-nucleotide ribosomal RNA is filed under the name uncultured bacterium. Its description in RNAcentral is "bacterial SSU rRNA". It matches the Rfam family "Bacterial small subunit ribosomal RNA", at positions 29 to 460 of the family's 1533-position model. The record is from RNAcentral.
AGUGAACGCUGGCGGCGUGCUUAACACAUGCAAGUCGUACGAGAAAGCUUCUGCUUGCAGAGGCGAGUAAAGUGGCGCACGGGUGAGUAACACGUGGGUAAUCUACCUCCGAAUUGGGGAUAACAACGCGAAAGCGAUGCUAAUACCGGAUAAUAUCGUUGAUUCUCUGGAAUUGACGAUCAAAAGUGGCCUCUUCUUGAAAGCUACUGUUUGGAGAUGAGCCCGCGUCCCAUUAGCUUGUUGGUGGGGUAACGGCCUACCAAGGCAACGAUGGGUAGCUGGUCUGAGAGGAUGAUCAGCCACACUGGAACUGACACACGGUCCAGACUCCUACGGGAGGCAGCAGUGAGGAAUUUUGCGCAAUGGGGGAAACCCUGACGCAGCAACGCCGCGUGAGUGAUGAAGGCUUUCGGGUCGUAAAGCUCUGUCAAGUGGGAAGAAACUAUAAAGUG